GAAGCGGCCACGGGGAAGGCAGGCGUGGGGGAGCUCUGCGGCGGCUCCGGGCUGGCCACGAGCCAGGGCAUCUGGGUAGGCACGGGGGUGAGGGGGGACCCGUCCGGACUAUCCGGCGGGUCUCGGAGGCCCUGCCAGGGGGCAUGGCGGAGGCCAGGCAGCGUGGUGGGCACGGGGCCCCGGGGGCUGGCGCUGUCCGAGCGGCUCCCGGGCUCCUCUCCUGAGGCCAGUCGUGGGGUGAGCCGGGCGGGGAGGCGGCGGGGAAGGGGCUCGGGGCCGGGAGCUCAAGCCCGCUCCUCGCUGGCGCCUCGGGAGCCUUUUCUUCGGCGCCUCCCUGGGGAACGGACGGCAAGGGCUCGCCGGGACUUGGCCUCUGGGUGGGCACCAAGGUGGGGGACGUGGUGUCCUGCCGUCGGGUGCUGCAGUUUGGGAGGGCGGGUGGGCGGGCGGUUAGGGCGCGGAGCCCCGGCGGGAGCCGCUCCCCCCACCCCGCCCCCCGGGCUGCUUGGGCGCCCCCACCCCGGCCCCUCCGCGUACCCGUCCUUGCCCUGGACCGGGCUGCUGGUGUGCAAGGGCGUGGAGGGCCCCGAGAGCUCGGAGGGCGCGCUGCGUGGAGCAUCACGGGGGGAGCGAGGCAGGGUGCUGUGCCCGCUGGGGCCCUCCCUCCAGGACGCCGGCUCGGGUGACUCUGGGGAAGGCGACAGGAGGGGCCAUGAGCCUGCGGCCCCCGCUGCCCAGCUUGGCCCUGUCUCCCUCUGUGCCGCCCCCCCCAUCUCCCUUCCCUGGGCGCUCGUCCUCACCUGCGGAUGCCAGGGGUCCUGCUGGGGCCAGGUGCCCAGGCAUCGGGUACCUGUCCCCUCCCUCCUCCGCGGGGAUCUCGUAGCUCAGCUUCCUGGGUGGUGGGUAGGGCGGGCUGCCCGGGGAGACGGAGCCGGCCCGGGGGGAGUGGGCACCGGAGCUGGGGUACCCCCUGCCCUCACCCGGGGAGCCACAGCUCUGAGGCACCCUGCCGUACGCCGGGCAGUAACUGGGGAGCGCUCCUCCGUAGCCGUAGGUCACCAGGGCCGGGUACCCCGGAUGCCCAUACCUGCCGUCGGGGCACAGGGCGCAGGAGCAGCCCUCGUGCCCGUCCUCGCUGGCCUUGGGCGGCUUCAGGCAGCCGUAGUCGGGCAUGGGGGCGUGGUGAUGGCCGCAGGCAGGCACCAGCAGGGGCAGCGGGUGCCCGGGGCGCAGCGGGUGCAGCAGAGGCUUGCCCGCCUCGCCCGCCCACCCCUCCCCGGCCUCCCGCUCCAGCCGCAGCCCGUACAGGGCCGCAGUGGGCAGCGCCAGCUUCUCCUCGCACGCGGGGCACGAGCACAGGGCGGGCAGCCCCGGGUCCUCCAGGAUCACCAGCUCCCGGUAGCCCGGGGCCCGGUAGCCGAAGUCCGCGCUGGCGGCUUUCCCCAGCUCCGGGCCGUAGGGGUAGGGCCCCUCGGACAGCGAGCGGCAGAGGCGCCUCUUUUCCACCGCGGCCUCGGCGUAGCCCUGGGGGUGCCCCUCGUAGCCCCCGUAGGCCAGCCGCCGCCGGUCCAGCGUUCCCUCCGGCCGGUAGUAGCCCCCGUUGGGGACCCCGCAGGGCUCCCGGUAGCCCUGGCGGCAGGAGCAGUGGCGGCUGAGGCCGGGCCUGUGGCCCGAGUACACUCCGAGCGGCGGCCCGCGGCCGCGGGGGGCUGCUCCUCGUCGUCCAGGAUGGCCGUCUCCCGCCCGGCGCCCCGGCCCGGCCCGGCCACCCCGCAGCCCCCCAGGAGGCGGUCCAGCUCCUGGCGCUCGGCGGCCGUCGGGGGAGGCCGGCCAGGGGACUCGGCGGCCGGCUCGGCGGUCAGCGUGGACGAGUGGCCGGAGUCGCUGCUGACGGAGAGCAUGGGGGGCGGAGGUGGCUCCGGGGAGGGUGCCGGCGGGGUCUGGCGGGGGGCCCGCUGCACCUGGGCGUAG
This 1971-nucleotide long non-coding RNA is filed under the name Canis lupus familiaris (dog). RNAcentral describes it as "lncRNA (ENSCAFG00040023100.1)". The record is from RNAcentral. Lineage: Eukaryota; Metazoa; Chordata; Mammalia; Carnivora; Canidae.